UUGCAAUUGUUCUGAAGAGAUUUA
This 24-nucleotide non-coding RNA is filed under the name Rattus norvegicus (Norway rat). The record is from RNAcentral. Lineage: Eukaryota; Metazoa; Chordata; Mammalia; Rodentia; Muridae.